RNAcentral lists this ribosomal RNA (1451 nucleotides) under Pseudomonas azotoformans. RNAcentral describes it as "bacterial SSU rRNA". It matches the Rfam family "Bacterial small subunit ribosomal RNA". Lineage: Bacteria; Pseudomonadati; Pseudomonadota; Gammaproteobacteria; Pseudomonadales; Pseudomonadaceae. The record is from RNAcentral.
CCAACUCACUCCUUACAGCUUCUCCAUCCCGAGUCGAGCCGUAGAGAGAAGCUUGCUUCUCUUGAGAGCGGCGGACGGGUGAGUAAUGCCUAGGAAUCUGCCUGGUAGUGGGGGAUAACGUUCGGAAACGGACGCUAAUACCGCAUACGUCCUACGGGAGAAAGCAGGGGACCUUCGGGCCUUGCGCUAUCAGAUGAGCCUAGGUCGGAUUAGCUAGUUGGUGAGGUAAUGGCUCACCAAGGCGACGAUCCGUAACUGGUCUGAGAGGAUGAUCAGUCACACUGGAACUGAGACACGGUCCAGACUCCUACGGGAGGCAGCAGUGGGGAAUAUUGGACAAUGGGCGAAAGCCUGAUCCAGCCAUGCCGCGUGUGUGAAGAAGGUCUUCGGAUUGUAAAGCACUUUAAGUUGGGAGGAAGGGUUGUAGAUUAAUACUCUGCAAUUUUGACGUUACCGACAGAAUAAGCACCGGCUAACUCUGUGCCAGCAGCCGCGGUAAUACAGAGGGUGCAAGCGUUAAUCGGAAUUACUGGGCGUAAAGCGCGCGUAGGUGGUUUGUUAAGUUGGAUGUGAAAUCCCCGGGCUCAACCUGGGAACUGCAUUCAAAACUGACUGACUAGAGUAUGGUAGAGGGUGGUGGAAUUUCCUGUGUAGCGGUGAAAUGCGUAGAUAUAGGAAGGAACACCAGUGGCGAAGGCGACCACCUGGACUAAUACUGACACUGAGGUGCGAAAGCGUGGGGGAGCAAACAGGAUUAGAUACCCUGGUAGUCCACGCCGUAAACGAUGUCAACUAGCCGUUGGAAGCCUUGAGCUUUUAGUGGCGCAGCUAACGCAUUAAGUUGACCGCCUGGGGAGUACGGCCGCAAGGUUAAAACUCAAAUGAAUUGACGGGGGCCCGCACAAGCGGUGGAGCAUGUGGUUUAAUUCGAAGCAACGCGAAGAACCUUACCAGGCCUUGACAUCCAAUGAACUUUCUAGAGAUAGAUUGGUGCCUUCGGGAACAUUGAGACAGGUGCUGCAUGGCUGUCGUCAGCUCGUGUCGUGAGAUGUUGGGUUAAGUCCCGUAACGAGCGCAACCCUUGUCCUUAGUUACCAGCACGUUAUGGUGGGCACUCUAAGGAGACUGCCGGUGACAAACCGGAGGAAGGUGGGGAUGACGUCAAGUCAUCAUGGCCCUUACGGCCUGGGCUACACACGUGCUACAAUGGUCGGUACAGAGGGUUGCCAAGCCGCGAGGUGGAGCUAAUCCCAUAAAACCGAUCGUAGUCCGGAUCGCAGUCUGCAACUCGACUGCGUGAAGUCGGAAUCGCUAGUAAUCGCGAAUCAGAAUGUCGCGGUGAAUACGUUCCCGGGCCUUGUACACACCGCCCGUCACACCAUGGGAGUGGGUUGCACCAGAAGUAGCUAGUCUAACCUUCGGAGGAACGGUUACUCCCCGCCAGAUGUGGG